Molecule: long non-coding RNA, 1281 nt
Organism: Lepisosteus oculatus (spotted gar)
Lineage: Eukaryota; Metazoa; Chordata; Actinopteri; Semionotiformes; Lepisosteidae
Source: RefSeq, a predicted model, not a curated record
GGAGCUGCUGAGCUGUAGAAGCCCCAGGCGCUGCCCCUGUCACUGUGUGAAGAACAGACUGCGCUCUGCUGCUGGAAUCAUGACAGCUCCUCUGGCCCUGGGUCUCCUGCUCUCUCUGGCUGCCUUGUCUUGUGUCCAGUCCGAUGUUGUGCUGACCCAGUCUGAGUCAGCGGUGGUCACACCCGGAGGGUCUCACAGAUUGAAAUGCACAGUUACUGGGUUUAAUCUUGCCAGCUAUAGCAUGUUCUGGAUUCGCCGGGCUCCUGGGAAAGGGCUGGAGUGGAUAGUUUACUUUUACUCCAGUUCUGACAACAGCUACGCCCCGGCUGUACAAGGAAGAUUCACGGCCUCGAAGGACAGCAGCAGUUUGUAUCUGGACAUGAGCAGUCUGAGAGCUGAAGACACUGCAGUCUAUUACUGUGCGAGAAACACACUGUGCAGCAGGUGGCCUUUCUGCAGGUCCGAAAAAAUCAGGAUGGUCUGAGAUGUGAAGUCACCGGGUAUGAUGUGAGCACCUGUCAGCUGAGUUGUUCCUGUCCGGGACAAAGACUGGAAUUUCUGGCUCAACACAGGAUCAUCCGCCUUCCGACAGAGGGCUCACUUUUCUGCUUGUCUUCUUAUUCUCUAAUUCCCUUAUUCUUUCUCACUUCUAUCAUGUCAGCUAUUUCUCAAAUGGUCUCUGUAAUCGACUUACAGUAUAUGCUCUAGCCAGAGCGCACAGUUGAUUCCCUUGAUGAAAGAUACAGCUGUUCCAAGCAACAACCUUGGUACUACCAGGUUUGGCCCAUUCAGCCAUCUUGGUAGGGGGCAAGGAUAUCUCUAAUACACUGGACUUGCCGGUUACUGAUUUAGCGUGCAUCGAUAACUUCUCAUCUGGUGACAUCACAAAGGAAGACUGACUACUUUGAAUGAAAGAUUUAACUUACUAAUGAGAACUGUGCAGGCCGAGACACUGCUGAGAAUUGCUGUGCUAAACAAUAGUGAGGAAACAAACAAACUCACAAAAAUGACUUAAUCCUGUCUACACACAAAUUGUUCAAAUGUUACAUUGCUCCUUCGUAAGAGCUGCGGAAACACAUAUACAGACUAUUAGCUUCCAGUGUGCAAGCAGCUGAUCUUAGAUUCAACUCAAAAGCACUGAAAAGUUCUUGAGGCAUUCCUUCCCAGAUCAAAUUGUCGUGUGGGAUUUAUAAUAAUACAUUUGUCUCUCACAUUAUUAAAAGCACUUUGACCUAGAAAAUACCUGAACCAAACUGACAGGUUGAGCCCAGAGAAUCAAUA